Molecule: long non-coding RNA, 1418 nt
Organism: Pan paniscus (pygmy chimpanzee)
Lineage: Eukaryota; Metazoa; Chordata; Mammalia; Primates; Hominidae
Source: Ensembl
GCUCAAGGGAUCCUCCUGCCUCAGCCUCCCAAAGUGUUGGGAUUAUACUUUGUAAACCCAAAGUGUGAGCCAUCACGUCCAGCCAAAAAGUAUUCAGUAUUUUGAGAGUAUAAGUUGGAUAUGUGAUGUGAGAGAAAGAGAGGAAUCAGGGAUGACUUUGAGAUUUCUGGCUUAAGCAACUGGCAAGUAGGAGUUUUUAAUCAACUGAGGUGGGGAAGACUGUGGGUAGACUAAGUUUUGGGUGACAAGAGCAGGAUUCAGUCAGGGGAACCGAAGGGCAGGCUCUCUGUACCAGCACUCAGUAUGCAGUUUCAUAUCAAGUCAAAGGCUGUCUGAGGCCAACACUGGUCUUUGAGAGUGGGAAGUCCAAGCAAGCAGAAGAUGACAAGUAGGUGUCACUGGCUCUAAUGGAAGAUGGGCAAGAGAAGACCUCUACAUUCUAGAAAGUGAACUUGCUAUGUGGUUUGCCUGGCAACGGACAAGGUGAGGUAAAUAAUGCCACAGAAGUUCCAGGAUGAAGGAUUACAAGAGGUUUGUAAGAAAACUCAAGGGGUACGGUGGUUCAGAAAUGGACAUAACAGCCUAGAGGAAGACCUGGGAGAAGCCCUUGAAUAACCAUUGGUCCAUUGUGCAUCUAGGGUCCUUAACAAAAAGAUAAAAGACAAGUGUAUAAUAUGUUGGAAAAAAAUUUCCCAUUCCCACACAGGCUUGUCAUAUACCAGGAGGUAUCAACAAUCACCAAGCUCUCAUGCAUUAACUACCUGUUUCACCUCCAUUGAGGGAUAUGUCUCAUGUCAAUAAUUGGAUCUAUGAAACCUGGCUGUGAUAAAUACCAAGGAAUUCUAUGCCAGUUCACAGCAGUAAGAGUGCAGAAGUGCCAGGCUGAAGAGGCCAUGUCCAUCUGCUUAUUGCAAUUUCUUCCUGAAGAUUGUUUUUGGGUGCUUUAUCAAUUGUCCACAUUGUUCUGGGAGAGUGGAGCUCUAAACUACUGUGAGGAAAUUCUGUGCGCAUAGCUGGGGCCUCUCAGCUGCCAGACUUCUCUGUAGGGAACAAAGCAAGAACCAGACGAUUGCUGAUGGACCCUGACAUGCUGCAUCUGGAGAUGUUUCCUCAGAGAGAAACCCUCUGUUCCCUUGUGCUGAGAGACUGUGAGUCUAGGGAAGGGGUUGGCAUCUUCAUCAUUCAGUAAGCAGAUGGUUUUCAGCCUGGUGCCUCAGCCCUUCCCUCCACUGUCCCAGAUUUUAUCAAAUUUGGAGCUUCCCUGGUUCCAUUUUUCUAGAACAUAAAAUACUCUGCUCCUGUGAUGAUGGGAGAGGAGAUGUCACCUGGCUACAUAAGGUAAGAGAGGAGAACUGGCGGUCAAAGUCCUCCUUAUCUAGACUUCCUAUUGACCUGUUUUUCUGCCUUUUUCUGACACC